GCGUGGUGGGAGUCAGAUAUAUAUCCCUAUUUUAUUCUGUGGCGGAAUUCUCCCCGGGACAUGCAUGAAAAGGAAAGGAGGGAAGAAAAUGCAAAAGACACUUGACCAGAUAAGCAUUGUGAUUUAUUUGAUGGCUCUUCUAGACGUACUUUGCAUCUGAUACUUGAGUCUACGGUUCAUAAUUACCUUCUCGUUCCGUACCUGUUUCCCCAAGCUUUCGUUUUUACCUAACACGUAAGUUAAUUGAAACGUGAGUUUUUUUUUUUACCUUCCCUUUGGCAAAGAACGGUCAAUAUCU
This 298-nucleotide long non-coding RNA is filed under the name Brachypodium distachyon (stiff brome). RNAcentral's name for it is "long non-coding RNA (BDIS_LNC001414)". The record is from RNAcentral. Lineage: Eukaryota; Viridiplantae; Streptophyta; Magnoliopsida; Poales; Poaceae.